Molecule: ribosomal RNA, 468 nt
Filed under: uncultured bacterium
Lineage: Bacteria
Description: partial 16S ribosomal RNA
Rfam family: Bacterial small subunit ribosomal RNA
Source: RNAcentral
GACGAACGCUGGCUGCGUGCUUAACACAUGCAAGUCGAACGGAAAGGCCCUGCUUUUGUGGGGUGCUCGAGUUGCUAACGGGUUAGUAACACGUGAGUAACCUGCCCUUGACUUUGGGAUAACUUCAGGAAACUGGGGCUACUACCGGAUAGGCGCUCCUGCUGCAUUGUGGGCGUUGGAUAGUUUCGGCGGUUGGGGAUGGACUCGCGGCUUAUUAGCUUGUUGGUGGGGUAGUGGCUUACCAAGGCUUUGACGGGUAGCCGGCCUGAGAGGGUGACCGGCCACAUUGGGACUGAGAUACGGCCCAGACUCCUACGGGAGGCAGCAGUGGGGAAUAUUGCACAAUGGGCGGAAGCCUGAUGCAGCAACGCCGCGUGCGGGAUGACGGCCUUCGGGUUGUAAACCGCUUUCGCCUGUGACGAAGCGUGAGUGACGGUAAUGGGUAAAGAAGCACCGGCUAACUACGUG